AGAGUUAGAAAUAAGAAGACGGGAGGAUGAGUACAGAUUUACAAAAUUGCUUCAGAUUGCUGGAAUUAACCCACAUGGUAAUGCUUUAGGAGCAUCAAUGCAGCAACAGGUAAAUCAACAAAUACCUCAGGAAAAACGAGGAGGUGAAGUAUUGGAUUCUUCUCAUGAUGACAUAAAACUUGAAAAAAGUAAUAUUUUGCUGCUUGGACCAACUGGGUCAGGUAAAUAACUUGCUGAGAAAAUUUACUACUCAUUUUAAAAAUCAGAAUAUAAAUGAUUCUAUAACCUGUAUCUUGCGAUUGAAGUAUUACGGCUCUUGAGAAGAAAAUCUAAGGCCAGUCAUCUAGAUACACUAUCAGUAUUCCUGCAUAGAAUACAAACUGAAUUUGAGGCAUUGGUGUUGCCCUUCAGGCCAAUCCCUAACAUCUUCACAGGAAUAAUAAAAUAAAAAACAGCUAUAUCUAAAUAAUAAUAGAUCGGAUGUAGUGGCUCACACCUGUAAUCCCAGCAUUUUGGGAGACAAAGGUGGGAGGAUCACUUGAGGCCAAGAGUUUGAGACCAGCCUAGGCAACAGAGCAAGACUCUAUCUCUAUAAAAAAUAAAGU
Molecule: small RNA, 605 nt
Filed under: Pan troglodytes (chimpanzee)
Lineage: Eukaryota; Metazoa; Chordata; Mammalia; Primates; Hominidae
Description: retained intron
Source: RNAcentral